RNAcentral lists this ribosomal RNA (253 nucleotides) under uncultured bacterium. RNAcentral describes it as "partial 16S ribosomal RNA". It matches the Rfam family "Bacterial small subunit ribosomal RNA", at positions 524 to 776 of the family's 1533-position model. The record is from RNAcentral.
UACAGAGGGUGCGAGCGUUAAUCGGAAUUACUGGGCGUAAAGCGUGCGUAGACGGUAGCGUAAGUCAGAUGUGAAAGCCCCGGGCUCAACCUGGGAAUUGCAUUUGAGACUGCUCUGCUCGGGUGCGGAAGAGGGAAGCGGAAUUUCCGGUGUAGCGGUGAAAUGCGUAGAUAUCGGAAGGAACACCAGUGGCGAAAGCGGCUUCCUGGUCCGACACCGAUGUUCAGGCACGAAAGCGUGGGGAGCAAACAGG